CCAGACUCCUACGGGAGGCAGCAGUGAGGAAUAUUGGUCAAUGGACGGAAGUCUGAGCCAGCCAUGCCGCGUGCAGGAAGACGGCUCUAUGAGUUGUAAACUGCUUUUGUACAAGGGUAAACCUGAAUACGUGUAUUCAGCUGAAAGUACUGUACGAAUAAGGAUCGGCUAACUCCGUGCCAGCAGCCGCGGUAAUACGGAGGGAGCAAGCGUUAUCCGGAUUUACUGGGUGUAAAGGGCGCGUAGGCGGGAUGGCAAGUCAGAUGUGAAAUCCAGGGGCUCAAUCCCUGAACUGCAUUUGAAACUGUCGUUCUUGAGUACUGGAGAGGUUGACGGAGUUCCUAGUGUAGCGGUGAAAUGCGUAGAUAUUAGGAGGAACACCAGUGGCGAAGGCGGUCAACUGGACAGCAACUGACGCUGAGGCGCGAAAGCGUGGGGAGCAAACAGGAUUAGAUACCCGCGUAA
Molecule: ribosomal RNA, 465 nt
Filed under: uncultured bacterium
Lineage: Bacteria
Description: bacterial SSU rRNA
Rfam family: Bacterial small subunit ribosomal RNA
Source: RNAcentral